This 253-nucleotide ribosomal RNA is filed under the name uncultured bacterium. Its description in RNAcentral is "partial 16S ribosomal RNA". It matches the Rfam family "Bacterial small subunit ribosomal RNA", at positions 524 to 776 of the family's 1533-position model. The record is from RNAcentral.
UACGGGGGGGGCAAGCGUUGUUCGGAAUUACUGGGCGUAAAGGGCUCGUAGGCGGCCAACUAAGUCGGAUGUGAAAUCCCCAGGCUCAACCUGGGAACUGCAUCCGAUACUGGAUGGCUUGAAUUCGGGAGAGGGAUGCAGAAUUCCAGGUGUAGCGGUGAAAUGCGUAGAUAUCUGGAGGAAUACCGGUGGCGAAGGCGGCGACCUGGGUUGACAUUGACGCUGAGGCGCGAAAGCGUGGGGAGCAAACAGG